RNAcentral lists this ribosomal RNA (440 nucleotides) under uncultured bacterium. Its description in RNAcentral is "partial 16S ribosomal RNA". It matches the Rfam family "Bacterial small subunit ribosomal RNA", at positions 339 to 795 of the family's 1533-position model. The record is from RNAcentral.
CUACGGGCGGCUCCAGUGGGGAAUAUUGCACAAUGGAGGAAACUCUGAUGCAGCAACGCCGCGUGGAGGAUGACACUUUUCGGAGCGUAAACUCCUUUUAUAUAGGAAGAAGAUGACGGUACUAUAUGAAUAAGCGCCGGCUAACUCCGUGCCAGCAGCCGCGGUAAUACGGAGGGCGCAAGCGUUACUCGGAAUCACUGGGCGUAAAGAGCGUGUAGGCGGAUUAAAAAGUCAGAAGUGAAAUCCUAUAGCUUAACUAUAGAACUGCUUCUGAAACUCUUAAUCUAGAAUAUGGGAGAGGUAGAUGGAAUUUCUGGUGUAGGGGUAAAAUCCGUAGAGAACAGAAGGAAUACCGAUUGCGAAGGCGAUCUACUAGAACAUUAUUGACGCUGAGACGCGAAAGCGUGGGGAGCAAACAGGAUUAGAUACCCGUGGUAGUC